UACGAAGGGGGCUAGCGUUGCUCGGAAUCACUGGGCGUAAAGGGUGCGUAGGCGGGUCUUUAAGUCAGGGGUGAAAUCCUGGAGCUCAACUCCAGAACUGCCUUUGAUACUGAGGAUCUUGAGUUCGGGAGAGGUGAGUGGAACUGCGAGUGUAGGGGUGAAAUUCGUAGAUAUUCGCAAGAACACCAGUGGCAAAGGCGGCUCACUGGCCCGAUACUGACGCUGAGGCACGAAAGCGUGGGGAGCAAACCGG
This 253-nucleotide ribosomal RNA is filed under the name uncultured bacterium. RNAcentral's name for it is "partial 16S ribosomal RNA". It matches the Rfam family "Bacterial small subunit ribosomal RNA", at positions 524 to 776 of the family's 1533-position model. The record is from RNAcentral.